GGGGAAGGCUGAAGGUGUUUCAAGCACUCAAUUAUUAUGCUACUAAAACUCAGGUGUUCCUCAUAGAGAAUCACCUCUAUUAAAGUCUUGAUAUUUAUAGCAAGAAUAGAAAUAUCUGUACAAAGCAUCAGAGAACUGUUUAUUGAAAAUCGUACCAAGACGUGUUAAAUUCUUGUUUUUAUUAGCACAUUCCUUAGGAGUCCUAAUGAUGGCAUAUUCAUUCAGUCCUCUGAGAAAAGAACCAGAAUACUCAAUUAGCAGAACAGUAGCCUAGGAAAAACAAAUAAACAAACAAACAAUAACAACAACAACAAAAAAAAACACACUGAUUCAGUUCAUCAGGGGAUUAGAGGAAAAACAGAUAAGGCCAACGGGACUGCAAGUCUGAGCAUCAGGUGAAAGAAGCAGCCAAAAGGGGGAAAAAAGGGAUGUGAGUCACCAGAUCUGCUAUCUCAUCAAAGCGAUAUGAAGUAUAAUAGAAGGCAGGAAGCAGAAAGCAAAGCAGAAAGAAACUCUGAGGUGAUGAAGUUAUCAAAGCUCUGGACCCGCAAACCUUCUCUAAGCAUGACUGUUUUCCUAUGAAGCCACAUAAGGAUCAGGCCCUGCUUCUGACCAGGAUCAUUACAAAAGACAUGGGAAGGUGGAAGGAAAUUUUCUCCAGGGAAGAGUAAAAAUGGCACUGUACCAAACAGAAAGCCCACAGAGCUCCUCUGGACCAACAGUUACACAGCUGGAGCUCUUUUCAGCUGCUCUGGAGAAAUGUACUUUGAACUAUUUUUAGUGUUUUAUCACUUUUCCAUGAAAAAUCACUUAGACUGAAACAUAGCACUCAAAGAUACGAUAUGAGAGUGUGAAGGAUUUCAUAAAAAUCCUCUAAAAAAGAAAGAAAGAAAGAAAUAUAUUGUGCUUAAUUCUAAGUUAAAUAUACACAAAGAAAAACAAAUAGGCUUACCAGUUUGAACUGCUUUCCCUCCCUUAUGCUUGUGGAACUUAAACAAGCUUUUAUUUGAAACAUGGUAUUUUCCAGACCCUUAAGACCUUUGCUUGAAUUAGGCAUUCCUGGAAUUUCUGAUUUAAAAUUGAAAUGACUGAGUGGCAAAUACAACAGAAUAAGAGCACAAGCUCUGUGCUUUGGUAACUUUAUUUAUAGCAUGUUUUAUUGCAUGUAUCAAUAUUAAAAUCUCUCUAUAAAAUUUAACUAAGGAUUGAAAUAACACUACAGGUAAGAUUAUAUUCCCAUCAAACUAUUCUGUUGUUUUCAUGUUAUGGCACAUCGCAAAACCAAUGUUCCAUUUUACCAUUAAACAGCCACAGUUUCUUUGGGCCACAAUUCACUAAUGCAUUUAAGUGUGCGGCUAAUGUUAGGCAUACAACUGAUUCCAUUGGUUUCAACAGGACUAUUC
Molecule: long non-coding RNA, 1403 nt
Filed under: Anser cygnoides (Swan goose)
Lineage: Eukaryota; Metazoa; Chordata; Aves; Anseriformes; Anatidae
Description: lncRNA (ENSACDG00005002291.1)
Source: RNAcentral